RNAcentral lists this non-coding RNA (439 nucleotides) under Pongo abelii (Sumatran orangutan). The record is from RNAcentral. Lineage: Eukaryota; Metazoa; Chordata; Mammalia; Primates; Hominidae.
UGACCCCGCGGGGUCUGUUUCCCCGGGAGGAGUUGGCUGCGUUUGGAGAUCCCUGGGCCUAGUAUUCGUCGCGUCCCCCUGCUUGUUGCUCUCCACGUUUAGCCCCAUCCGACUUCUGGAAGCCGAGGGAGAGCACCAGAUUCUCAAAACAACACAGGCUUUGGAGCCACAUGUGGGUUUGAAUCUCAACUCUACCUGUCUGAGUGACCCUGGGCAAGUCACUUCACUUCCCUGAGACUCAAGUUUCAUCAAGAUGGGAACAAUGAGCAUCUGCCUCACAGGCUUGUCGUGAGGAUUAAGUGAGAAGGUGCAGCUGCAAAGACAUCAAACUGGACCCAUCGAGGAUUUCGGAUUCAGCCAUCAUGGGGCUGCUGCCGGGGAAGCCACUGCCCCUCCUUUCUCCUCAGCACUGGGGUUAUAAAAAAAUACCUACAAACCA